Molecule: ribosomal RNA, 379 nt
Filed under: uncultured bacterium
Lineage: Bacteria
Description: bacterial SSU rRNA
Rfam family: Bacterial small subunit ribosomal RNA
Source: RNAcentral
GAACCUUACCUGGCCUUGACAUGGUAGGAACCCUUAAGAGAUUAGGGGGUGCUAGCUUGCUAGAACCUACACACAGGUGCUGCACGGCUGUCGUCAGCUCGUGUCGUGAGAUGUUGGGUUAAGUCCCGCAACGAGCGCAACCCUCGUCUUUAGUUGCUAACAGUUAGGCUGAGCACUCUAAAGAGACUGCCUCCGUAAGGAGGAGGAAGGUGAGGACGACGUCAAGUCAUCAUGGCCCUUACGGCCAGGGCUACACACGUGCUACAAUGGGGCGUACAGAGAGCUGCAAUACCGCGAGGUGGAGCCAAUCUCUUAAAGCGUCUUUCAGUUCGGAUUGUUCUUUGCAACUUGAGAACAUGAAGCUGGAAUCACUAGUAAU